This 314-nucleotide ribosomal RNA is filed under the name Escherichia coli. Its description in RNAcentral is "eukaryotic LSU rRNA". It matches the Rfam family "Eukaryotic large subunit ribosomal RNA", at positions 2581 to 2894 of the family's 3401-position model. The record is from RNAcentral. Lineage: Bacteria; Pseudomonadati; Pseudomonadota; Gammaproteobacteria; Enterobacterales; Enterobacteriaceae.
GGUACGUAAGCCGUGUAGCAGACCAUUUGUGUUGGGGAGUUUGGCUGGGGCGGAAAACUGCUACACGGCAACGGCAGUCUCCUAAGGUCCACUCAGAGACGACAGAAACGUCUCGUAGAGCAUAAAGGCAAAAGUGGGCUUAACUUACAUUUUCAGUAGUAAUGUGAAGCAAGAAAUUGAGGCUUAACGAUCCUUAGCGGCGGGUGCCAGCCCACGCUUGAGGUGAGAGAAAAGUUACCACAGGGAUAACUGGCUUGUGGCCGCCAAGCGUUCAUAGCGACGUGGCUUUUUGAUCCUUCGAUGUCGGCUCUUCC